Saccostrea cuccullata (small rock oyster) is the source of this 650-nucleotide long non-coding RNA. RefSeq lists it as uncharacterized. The transcript is spliced from 2 exons. The record is from RefSeq and is a predicted model, not a curated record. Lineage: Eukaryota; Metazoa; Mollusca; Bivalvia; Ostreida; Ostreidae.
GCAUCUGAAAUUCCAAUACCGGCUUAAUGAAGCACUUGUGUUUUGUUAUCUCUGCAAGAUAAAAGAAAAAUCUAAAUUCUUCCUUCCAUGUGGCCAUUUCUUGACCUGUGAAGACUGCGCUUUGGCCUACAGUCGCUGCCCCUUGAGAGACUGUGGAAAGAAAAUAGACAGCACAGAAAAUGCACGCUUGAAAUAAAUUUGAGGAAUUUAUAGAUACAUGAAGAAUAUGGGCUCCUAUCCUGUCGAGAAGAUGGAUAUUAUUUAUGUAAAACUUUUUUCAUAAAAGAAGGAAAAUUAGAGCACCAAAAUAUUAUUUAACGGAUUUCACUUCUACAAAACUUUUUUAUGUGUUAUAAUUAAUUGUUACAUCAUUUUUUUCUUCUUAAAGUACAAGUAUGUCUCAUUUUAAUUUUUUCAUUUUUUAAAAUUAUGUUUCAAUACAUUUUAGAAGUGUUCAGGGGAGAUAAGACCCUCUGUUUGUUUAUAUUAUGUGUGUGUUGGUUUGUGAGUGAGUGCGUUAAUUCUGUGCAAAACGGAUUUCGAAUGAUGUCUUGAUUUAUACGUAAAUAUGCUCUUUGUGAGAUCACACUGUUUGUUUUUUGUUAUAUUUUUUGCCUGCUUUUAGUCUAAAUAUAUACUCAUCAAGGACA